Molecule: long non-coding RNA, 533 nt
Organism: Capsicum annuum
Lineage: Eukaryota; Viridiplantae; Streptophyta; Magnoliopsida; Solanales; Solanaceae
Exons: 2
Source: RefSeq, a predicted model, not a curated record
UAUGUCUCUAUAUUGAGAAAGUGUAUAUAUGAUUCUUCAUCGGUUGUUCCUUUUGAAGGAUUGGGUAUCUCAAAUUCUCUGUUUUAUAAAGAGGUCCCGAUUGAGAUCAUGGAUUGGAAGGUUUAUCGGUUGGGGACCAAGGAUGUAGCUUCGGUUAAGUUGUAUCCCCAACCGAUGCAGGAAUCAACUAUUUUAUUCCUUUUGCUUAGUGAUCGGAUUCGGGAUCAGCUCGAUUGGAUUGAAGUAGUGAGCUUCCAUAUUUCAGAAGGCUCUAUUUCAUGUCAUAGAUCUUUUCACAUACUUAUGUUAUUUCAUAGACAUUGGUUUUGGCUAUAGUUUGGGGCGUGUCCCAAUCGAAUAUUGUUUUACUCUUGGUUAGAGGCUUUAUGAAACUACUAUGGGUUGGUAUGGGCUGUGUCUAUAAUUGUGUUAGCCUUAUUAUUUGCAUUGUUAUUGGGGCUAAUACCGGAUAACUUUAUUUGAUUUAUGAUUUUUCCAUUUUAUUUUGGAUAAUAUAUUUAUAUUGGAACUCA